Molecule: ribosomal RNA, 202 nt
Filed under: Apis florea (little honeybee)
Lineage: Eukaryota; Metazoa; Arthropoda; Insecta; Hymenoptera; Apidae
Description: partial large subunit ribosomal RNA
Source: RNAcentral
UUUUAUUUAAUUUAUUAUUUAAUUUAAAUUAUUUAUAAAUAAAUAAUAAUUUAAAUUUGAUUGGGAGGAUUAAUAAAUUUAAUAAACUUUAUUUUUAAAUUUAAUUUUGAUUUAAAGAUAUAAAAUGAUUUAUAAUUUGUAAAUAUAAGAAUAAAUUACCUUAGGGAUAACAGCGUAAUAUCUUUUGAUAGGUCAUAUUGAU